RNAcentral lists this non-coding RNA (28 nucleotides) under Rattus norvegicus (Norway rat). Lineage: Eukaryota; Metazoa; Chordata; Mammalia; Rodentia; Muridae. The record is from RNAcentral.
UGGCUGUCCUGGAACUCCCUACGUAGCC